Molecule: microRNA precursor, 86 nt
Filed under: Notamacropus eugenii (tammar wallaby)
Lineage: Eukaryota; Metazoa; Chordata; Mammalia; Diprotodontia; Macropodidae
Description: miRNA (ENSMEUG00000017410.1)
Source: RNAcentral
UCCCCACCCCUGCAACCAGCUAGGAUUUUUCUUCAGCUUCUCUUUUCUUCUCCCAUUAGAUUGUGAGCUCCUUGAGGGCAGGGAUU